This 439-nucleotide ribosomal RNA is filed under the name uncultured bacterium. RNAcentral describes it as "partial 16S ribosomal RNA". It matches the Rfam family "Bacterial small subunit ribosomal RNA", at positions 339 to 795 of the family's 1533-position model. The record is from RNAcentral.
CUACGGGACGCAGCAGUGAGGAAUAUUGCACAAUGGGGGAAACCCUGAUGCAGCAACGCCGCGUGGAGGAUGACGCAUUUCGGUGUGUAAACUCCUUUUAUAUGUCAAGAAAAUGACGGUAGCAUAUGAAUAAGCACCGGCUAACUCCGUGCCAGCAGCCGCGGUAAUACGGAGGGUGCAAGCGUUACUCGGAAUCACUGGGCGUAAAGGACGCGUAGGCGGGUUGUCAAGUCAGGUGUGAAAUCCUACAGCUUAACUGUAGAACUGCACUUGAAAUUGGCAGCCUAGAGUAUGGGAGGGGGAGAUGGAAUUAGUAGUGUAGGGGUAAAAUCCGUAGAUAUUACUAGGAAUAUCAAAAGCGAAGGCGAUCUCCUGGAACAUUACUGACGCUAAGGCGUGAAAGCGUGGGGAGCAAACAGGAUUAGAUACCCCGGUAGUC